Molecule: long non-coding RNA, 969 nt
Organism: Gopherus evgoodei (Goodes thornscrub tortoise)
Lineage: Eukaryota; Metazoa; Chordata; Testudines; Testudinidae
Exons: 3
Source: RefSeq, a predicted model, not a curated record
CCCAUAGAUACCUGCAUAUCAGGACCUCCCAAUACCCCUGCAACAUUCCCCAUGGCAUCAGGUGUUGCUGAACUAUCCCUGCAACUCCACUUCUGGGACAUUAAAGACAGUCACAGCUUCACAUGUCUUUCACAGCAAGCUAGCCUCCAGAGAAUCAUCAGGUUCCCUGUGGCUCCUCCUGUGGCUCUGCAAAUACUGGAGGAUCAGGUGGCCCGUGCACGCAACACUCAUCACAAUAGUGCAGAGCUGUGCAAGAUCCAUGCUUCUGUCACAGAUGGCAGACAGUGAGGAGGGACGCUCAGGUUUGUGCAGUUACAGGACCUCUCAUUUGCACUGAGAGAGCGAGAAGAGAGAUUUGCUUAAUUGUCCCUCCACAAAGCCACCAAACAACUCUCUUAAAAGAGGAGUAUGGCUGGAAGUAGUGCACAACCAGCCCCCUCUAGUUGCAGCGUGAUUUAUGGCUCUACAGCAACCCCUCUGAUUGAUUCAGGAGCAGCAUCUGUGGUAAGAUGUUCAUUGCAUUUGUAUUCUCCCUGUGUAUUGUUCCAGCUCUGUGCAGACAGCUGGCACAGCAGAUCUUGAGCGAACUGACCAAUGACCACAGGAUCUGUUAAGGGAGGAAGGCACCCAGCCAGGUUUAUUGUUGAUGAAGCACGGUACUAGUAUUCCCACAGACUCUACCGAACUACUAAUACAUGUAUGCCCGUAACAGUGGACCAGCUUAGUGAAUGGUUGGACUUUUCGUUCUUCUCUAGGAAGUGAUGGGCAGGAUCCCUUGGGAGGCUAAGAUGAGGGGGAAAGGAGUCCAGGAGAGUUGGCUGUAAUUUUAAAGCCUUAUUGAGGAAGCAGUAACAAACCAUCCUGAUAUGUGGAAAGAAUAGCAGAUAUGGCAGACAACCAGCUUGGCAUAACAGAGAAAUCUUCGGUGAGCUUAAACAGAAAAAAAGAAGCUUACAAGAAGUGGAAACU